AACGGCCAUUACCGUACCUGUAUAUAUUGUACUUAACAUUUUUUGGAAAUAGUUUUAAAUCAAAACGAAAACGUGUACGUGGUUAAUAAAUAUACCUGUAUUAUUAUUGUGAAAGUCAGCAAUGCCAAAAAAGCGCAAAGGGGCCAAUUUGAGUUGUCGAACGAGCAGUUCCAGAGCCAUGCGAGAUUUAAGAGCACGAAGAU
This is a long non-coding RNA of Cotesia glomerata, 203 nucleotides long. RefSeq lists it as uncharacterized. Lineage: Eukaryota; Metazoa; Arthropoda; Insecta; Hymenoptera; Braconidae. The transcript has 2 exons. The record is from RefSeq and is a predicted model, not a curated record.